GCCAGAUUCCUUCUCUCUUCUCUCUCUUUGUUUCUCUCCUUUUUACGCAUAAAACUAAAAUAAAAUAAUUUCACCGCAAUUCACAGUCGCUUCCCGUUUCCAGUCCUCCCCUCCUCUCUCUUCUUCUUCUUCCUCAGACUCUUGUCCAGUUUCGUUUUCUUCAUUUGAUUGGUUCUUGCUCUUCAUUUUCAUUUUCUCCAGUUCUUCUGGUGUAUUCAGUUACCCAGCCCUCCCCCUUCUUCGGCUCUUCUUCUUCCUUUUCAGUUCGUCUUCUUUGGAAGUUGAUGCUUGAGGUGUUAAAUAUCAGCAUUUGGUCAUUUAGAAGAGAUGAGAUGCUGCUGAAAUUUUGACCGAUGUUUUCACUGAAUGAACAAAAAUUUUGGCCAAAGCUUUUGCCCGAAACAUUGUGAUCCUGGCGGGCCCUGAAUCUCCACACAAUAUGCAGAGAAGAAUAAUAUGGAGAACUUGCAGUUUUACAAGAUUCAUUGUCGACUUGAUCAAAAGGCGUGUUUUGAAUUGGAGAGAACCCUUACCUUAGUUGGUGAUGCAGAUUAUCCUUUGCAUGCGGAUGUACCAAGACCUCCAAGGAAAAUGUCAGAGAGGAAGCCAUACCCUACACCCAUGAAGGAGGAGAAAGAAGCCCGAAAGGCCCAGACUUGUAGGAUGCUUGAAGAACCUCCUGAUAAUGGAUUGUUGGUCCUGUUUGGCUUGUCAAAGCUUCUUCAAGUUGUUCCUGUCCAACGGUGCAGGUAGCCAAGAAGAAAAAAGAAAGAGAGAAGGGAAGGAAAUAAAAUAUAUAUUUUUUAUAAUUUUAGAUUGA
This is a long non-coding RNA of Prunus persica (peach), 820 nucleotides long. RefSeq lists it as uncharacterized. The transcript is spliced from 3 exons. Lineage: Eukaryota; Viridiplantae; Streptophyta; Magnoliopsida; Rosales; Rosaceae. The record is from RefSeq and is a predicted model, not a curated record.